AGUGAACGCUGGCGGCAUGCCUAACACAUGCAAGUCGAACGGCAACACAGUAAGAGGGUGCUUUUACGGGCGGCGAGUGGCGUACCGGUGAGGAACCCAUCGUAGUGUAGUUUUUCGCGGGGGAAAACGUAUGGAAACAUACGCUAAUACCGCGAACGACCUACGGGUGAAACCCGCGGAGCUUCGGACCUCGCGCGAUCGAAUUAGCCAGUGUCGGAUUAGCUAGUUGGCGGGGCAAAGGCUCACCAAGGCGACGGUCCGUAGCUGGUCUGAGAGGAGGAUCAGCCACACUGGGACUGAGACACGGUCCAGACUCCUACGGGAGGCAGCAGUGGGGAAUAUUGGACAAUGGGCGCAAGCCUGAUCCAGCCAUGCCGCGUGGGUGAAGAAGGCCUUCGGGUUGUAAAGCCCUUGUGUCAGGGAAGAAAAGCUGCUGGUUAAUACCCCGCAGUUAUGACGGUACCUGAAGAAUAAGCACCGGCUAACUUCGUG
Molecule: ribosomal RNA, 492 nt
Filed under: uncultured bacterium
Lineage: Bacteria
Description: partial 16S ribosomal RNA
Rfam family: Bacterial small subunit ribosomal RNA
Source: RNAcentral